UCCGUAGGUGAACCUGCGGAGGGAUCAUUACUGAGUUUACGCUCUACAACCCUUUGUGAACAUACCUACAACUGUUGCUUCGGCGGGUAGGGUCUCCGCGACCCUCCCGGCCUCCCGCCUCCGGGCGGGUCGGCGCCCGCCGGAGGAUAACCAAACUCUGAUUUAACGACGUUUCUUCUGAGUGGUACAAGCAAAUAAUCAAAACUUUUAACAACGGAUCUCUUGGUUCUGGCAUCGAUGAAGAACGCAGCGAAAUGCGAUAAGUAAUGUGAAUUGCAGAAUUCAGUGAAUCAUCGAAUCUUUGAACGCACAUUGCGCCCGCCAGCAUUCUGGCGGGCAUGCCUGUUCGAGCGUCAUUUCAACCCUCAAGCUCUGCUUGGUGUUGGGGCCCUACAGCCGAUGUAGGCCCUCAAAGGUAGUGGCGGACCCUCCCGGAGCCUCCUUUGCGUAGUAACUUUACGUCUCGCACUGGGAUCCGGAGGGACUCUUGCCGUAAAACCCCCCAAUUUUCCAAAGGUUGACCUCGGAUCAGGUAGGAAUACCCGCUGAACUUAAGCAUAUCAAUAAGCGGAGGA
This 575-nucleotide ribosomal RNA is filed under the name Colletotrichum gloeosporioides. RNAcentral describes it as "eukaryotic LSU rRNA". The stretch from base 203 to 356 matches the Rfam family "5.8S ribosomal RNA". Lineage: Eukaryota; Fungi; Ascomycota; Sordariomycetes; Glomerellales; Glomerellaceae. The record is from RNAcentral. RNAcentral also lists the same sequence under 1 other name.